UUUGGGGCAUGUAUUCUGUAAUCUGUAGUGAAAUACUUUUUACAAGUGACCUUCCCAACACUGUCUGUGGGAUACCCUUAAACCUCUGCCUUCUUAAUACCAUGUGAAAGGGUUUUCUCCAGAGAUGGAGAUGUUAUUACCAAAAGGAGAAGCCAGCUGAGUCCAAACACAGUGGAAAAAAUAUUAUUUUUAAUUAAACUUUAUUUUUAUAGCACCAAAUCACAAAAGUGCUUUAUAUUGUAAGAUAAAACCCUACAAUAAUACAAGGACCAACAGAAGACCCCAACAAUUAUAUGAACCCCUAUGAGCAAGUAGGGUGACACACAAGUAGGCAGGGAUUGUAUUCUCAGUAUCACUUAUAAAUAUGAUUCUCUUAUUGAUUCUUAUUGGGUUCUUAUUGGCUCCACUUUGAGCUCUUCCACAAUCUCUAAGCAGCAUAUCGAAGGCAUUACAUUCAUGCAGUACCUUCGAUAUGCCGCUGGGUCAAAUGUUUGUGCAUGUUGGAGGCAUCGCCCCUUCUUGUAGAGAUCAGUGCUGGGGUUGUUAGUCAAAAAAGUAAUGCAUUACACAUAUUACAAAGAACACUGUUCUUUUAAGUAUUGUACUGCAUUAUUUACUCAUUACUUCAACUGAUUACAUUACUUUUGUGUUACUCACUAAAAUAGCUAAAACACAUUGUCACAUAAUAACCAGUUAACAGUAUAAACCAUAGGAAACAGUCCCACACACCAACACAAAUCCCGAUCCUAAUGAGGACACACGUAUGAACUUUCUCUUAGUAUUUAGUUAUGAACACAAAGCGAAAAUGAAAGCCAGCCUUUAAAGCGAUCACCACAGUGAUUCUACUUUAGAAACACAAACAGGUAGAAAUGGAGGCUUCAAGCCUGAUUGUUCCACUUGAUUGUUUGGCCUCAAAUAUGCAAGAAAACUUUUGCGUGAUGCUGUGGUCAUGUGGCAUUACGUUUCUGAAACACAAACAGAGAAGUGGUACAUUUUCUUAGAACUGGUGCACUGGUGAUGCAGGUGAUGAUUUAAAUGAUUAUAUAAGGCGGUGCUGCUGAAAUGUAUAAAAAUCAAAGUGGCAAGAACCAAGUGUUCUUUGUUCCAGUUUGACUGACUUGAACGUAACAGCGUGUCUCAGCUACACUCUGCUCAUCUCGAGUCUUUGCUCCUCAUUUGCUUCAGAGCAUUUCACCUGCUGUUCCAGACGACUGACUUGUGCCUGAACCGCUGCAGGUUAACCAACCAACCAACCACUCAUCAGUGAAAUAAAAAUAAGAGGAUCAUGAAGAGUCAAUUUGUCUGUUUGCUGCUGGGCCUGCUUUCUGCUGUGGAGCUCUGUGCAAGCCUGGACUUCUAUCUAGAACAUGUCAUUGGAAACAUGCAGCCAGACCAAUGUACUACGGUGAUAAGGGAGAGAGGAAUCAAUCAUAACACUCCAUGCAAAGAUCCAAUCACAUUUAUUUUGGCCAAUGAAGGCCGGGUCAAUGACAUCUGUUCACGUGGUAAUGGAAAUGGAAAACAACAAGGUGAACCAUUUAAAAUUGUUGAAUGCAGACAUGAUGGUCGCAGUAAAAGUCCUAAUUGUAUAUAUGCAGGUCAACGCUAUGAUCGCAGGAUUGUUGUUUUAAAGUGUAACAAUAGAGAGCCAGUCGACUUGGAUAGUACAGUGCAAAUUGGCUAAAUUGUUUUGAAUUGUUGCUUUUUGCUUCCUUUGAAGUUUACAGCCAUCCUGGCUACAAUCUCAUGUUAUUGCUUAUCAUGAUUUUUCUUCAGCUUACUUUAAAAAAAACAAUGAAUAGUGAAAAUGCAAUAAAGCAUUUUUUCUGCACUCAGUUAUCUUACAUGGAUUUGCUGAACUCAACUUGCCUUCUGUCUGCUGAAUUGAUCAAAUAAACUUAUUAACCAGC
This is a long non-coding RNA of Oreochromis niloticus (Nile tilapia), 1910 nucleotides long. RefSeq lists it as uncharacterized. The record is from RefSeq and is a predicted model, not a curated record. Lineage: Eukaryota; Metazoa; Chordata; Actinopteri; Cichliformes; Cichlidae. The transcript has 3 exons.